Nematostella vectensis (starlet sea anemone) is the source of this 72-nucleotide non-coding RNA. The record is from Rfam. Lineage: Eukaryota; Metazoa; Cnidaria; Anthozoa; Actiniaria; Edwardsiidae.
GGGGGUAUAGCUCAAGUGUAGAGCAUUCGACUGCAGAUCGAGAGGUCACCGGUUCAACCCCGGUUGCCCCCU